CAGACUGCACAGAUGGAACAUGGAAAGGCUUUUAACAGAAAUGAAUACUUUCAGACUAGGUUUGAAGGACUGAGUAGGAGUAAACUAAAAGAGAAAAAGCAGGACAAAAGAAGCACCACUUUGGAAGCUCAAAGCCGCACUGGAAACACAGUCUUUCAGGAUGUCUGAAAGGGGCAAGUCUGUUUGUGUGGGGUAAGAAAUGCGGGGAGACAAACGGACAGUGGACAGAUUGCAGAGAGCUCUGUGUGCUGAGAGGAGGGUGCAGACCAGAUUUUUAAAUUGAGAAUGCAACAGUGAAGGAUUUCAAGCUUGGAGUGAGAGGGGAGACUACGAGCCUGCAGUGAUAAGGCAAAGCUGAAGAUUUCAGAGCCAAGGCCACACCCUACAGUUGCCAUGGAAUGGGGUGGCACAGUGGGCUUUGGAGGUAAAGUCUGCAGUUGAGAAGUUCAAGGGUAGUAAGUACUUAAUGCCAGGUCAAUCAUCCCUUUUAAGACACAGAUAUCAUCUGCAGCGUUUUCAGGAACAGCGAUAGAGAAGAAAAGCGGGCAGCUACUAGAUAUUCAAAUCUUCCACAAAUGUCAGGGAGAGAGUCAGGCAGUUGGUAGAAGAGACCUGUAAAGCUGGGUACCAUAAGCCUCAACACAGGUGUUUUUAUUUCAAGGCUGGGGAGCUGUGCUUUGGAAAAGCAAUGAGGAGGUAACAGGAAGUCUCUUCUCCUUCUAAAUCCUGUGUUCAUGGAGGAGGGUGGGUUUUCUCCUCUUGAGAGGGAGUUACAUACAAGUUUAAGGGAAAAGAGUCUGAAGUUUCCACCUAAAUGAUUCUGAAAGAAUCAGAUAUACAGGGAGUCCACGGAGCCUCCCCUGCAAGCAUCAGUACAGAAGUCGAUGAUAAUCUGGAUGCAAGCCCAGGAGUGUGGAGUCCACUGACUCAGAAGACCUGCAUCUAAGGAAUUGGCUGUUCUUAUCCUUAAGAAUGAUGACUGUGUUUCCAAUUCCAGUAGACCCUUUGAUGCGUUCUGAAUAAAUAUUCCUUUUGGAAUUGAACUUCUAGAGCCCUUAACUUUGGCCCACUCUAGUUUUCUGUCUGUUUUUUUUUUUUUUAAUAUUUUUUUUUUGUAAAGAUAAGGUCUUGCUUUGUUGCCCAGGCUGGUCUUGAAUUCCUGGACUCAAGCAAUCCACCUGCCUUGGCCUCCCAAAGUGCUGGGAUUAUAGGUGUGAACCAUUGUGUCCGAUCGCUCUCUGGUUUUUCUAAUAUCAUGAUCCCAACUCUGUUCUUUAUGUAAAUUUCCCUGAUCACAUGGUUGUAUCUUGGCAUUUCAAAAUCCUUGACAGACUUUGUUUUGUUUGAAUUUUACAAUGAACUUACAUGACUAGGCACGGUCCCCAGUUCAGUUUUAUAGACAAGGAUUCUGUAGGUCAAGAAGUGAAACACAACCAAUAACAGCAGGUGACAGGAUUUAAACCUGGGUCACUUUACUUAUUUUUUUCUACUCUAUCAUUAUGUGAAUCUAUCCUACCUCUGCAAUGACAGAUGGCCCUAGAGCAAGAACACUUCCUUACAUCUGGUAUACAGUCAAAAAGUAAAAAUUCCACACAAAUAAAUAUGGAAAGAAUUUUUACCUGCUCCUAUAGCUUCCUUUCAGGGACCUGGCACCCACAAAUGUUGGGUAACAGAAAGAGGACUUAUGUAACUUAACUCAAAGCAGAAAAGUUACAGAGACUGUCUUAGCAUAAUAGAGCAUGGAGUGGUCAUGCUUGGAUGUGCAAACUGUCUGAUAGUCUUGCACAUGGCUUGACCCCGAAUUACACUAGUGGGGCAAGUUGCCUGGGGCAAAGCAAACUUAUUGGACCCAAAGCUCUCAUUUGAGAAUUUUGUUGACUAAAAGUUAUAAAAUAUCAGCAAUUUCAUAUGGUUCAGCCUAAUAUUUUAUCACUCUUCCUUUUUCUAUUCUAAAACAAUAAUUUUUAAUAACGUAAGCUAUACACAUACAUGCUUUAAACAUACAACACCCUGACUAUCAUAUAGUGGAUAUUUCAAGAAGUAAAUGUUCAGCAUGUCUUCACCCCCACUUGAAGACAUAAUGUAUGUAUUAGGCUGUUCUGGCAUUGCUAUAAAGAAAUACCUGAGACUGUGUAAUUUAUAAGAAAGGAGCUUUAAUUGGCUCACGGUUCUGCAGGCUGUACAGGAAACAUAUUGGGUCUACUUCUGUGGAGGCUUCAGGGAACUUUGACUCAUGGUGGAAGGUGAAAUGAGAGCAGGCACCUCAUGUGACUGAAGCAGGAGCAAGAAAGAGAGAGCGAGCAAGGUGCCACACACUCUUAAACAACCAGAACUCUCUCUUGAGAAUUCACUCACUGUCUUGCCGUCAGCACCAAAGGGAUGGUCCUAAACCAUUCAUGAGAAAUCCUCCUCCAUGAUCCAAUCACCUCUCACCAGGCCCUACCCCCAACACUGGGAUUACAAUUCAAC
RNAcentral lists this long non-coding RNA (2469 nucleotides) under Homo sapiens (human). Its description in RNAcentral is "HSALNT0085002". The record is from RNAcentral. Lineage: Eukaryota; Metazoa; Chordata; Mammalia; Primates; Hominidae.